GAACUUAAGCAUAUCAAUAAGCGGAGGAAAAGAAACCAACAGGGAUUACCUCAGUAACGGCGAGUGAAGCGGUAACAGCUCAAAUUUGAAAUCUGGCUCUUUUAGGGUCCGAGUUGUAAUUUGUAGAAGAUGCUUUGGGAGUGGCUCCGGUCUAAGUUCCUUGGAACAGGACGUCAUAGAGGGUGAGAAUCCCGUAUGUGACUGGCCGCCUUCGCCCGUGUAAAGCUCUUUCGACGAGUCGAGUUGUUUGGGAAUGCAGCUCAAAAUGGGUGGUAAAUUUCAUCUAAAGCUAAAUAUUGGCCAGAGACCGAUAGCGCACAAGUAGAGUGAUCGAAAGAUGAAAAGCACUUUGGAAAGAGAGUUAAACAGUACGUGAAAUUGUUGAAAGGGAAGCGCUUGCAACCAGACUUGCACGUAGUCAAUCAUCUAGUGUUCUCACUGGUGUACUUGGCUGCGUUCAGGCCAGCAUCGGUUCUGGUGGUGGGAUAAAGGCCUUGGGAAUGUAGCUUCUUUCGGGGAGUGUUAUAGCCCUCGGUGCAAUGCCGCCUACCAGGACCGAGGACCGCGCUUCGGCUAGGAUGCUGGCGUAAUGGUUGUAAGCGACCCGUCUUGAAACACGGACCAAGGAGUCUAACAUCUGUGCGAGUGUUUGGGUGUCAAACCCAUACGCGUAAUGAAAGUGAACGGAGGUGAGAGCCCUUAAGGGCGCAUCAUCGACCGAUCCUGAUGUCUUCGGAUGGAUUUGAGUAAGAGCAUAGCUGUUGGGACCCGAAA
Molecule: ribosomal RNA, 774 nt
Filed under: uncultured fungus
Lineage: Eukaryota; Fungi
Description: eukaryotic LSU rRNA
Rfam family: Eukaryotic large subunit ribosomal RNA
Source: RNAcentral